CUUUUUGUAACCCUCUUUUUGUUUCUCCGGCCCUUUCUCUCCACUCCUUUUGAAAAUUGUUUAAAUUGCUAAUCAUAGCCUUCAUAGAAACAGAACCUUUAAGCUGGGGGUUGACAGUGUUCUAAAUAUAUUACCACCUCGUUAAAUCCAUAAUAAGCCGAGAAUAUUCUAAGAAGGAGUGAGAGAGAGGUGGAAAGACAACCCCUCUUGGGGUAAUUAAAUCUAGAUAAGAUUGUGAGCCCUUUAGGGGAGAGUUCAGAUAUUUAGGCUAGUCUAUCAUUAAGACAGGGGUGAGGGAUUGGAGGUGUGGGAGAAUGAUGGGGAAAGACGGGAAAAAAGUAGCAGGAACACCAACAGAGAGGAAAAUCUCAAGACAGGAAGAAAUAAGAGAUCUGGACGCACUCUGGCUAAAAAUAAAAGAUGAAUUUAGACAGAAUGAAACCCACAUGGAAAAAAAGUUAGGAGAGAUGCAGGAAUCUUUCGACAAAAAAAUGGAAGUAAUAGUAGGGGAAAUAUCAAACAAAAUAAAAGACCUAACAACCAAAACUAAACUUCUAGAAGACUCAAAUAAAAGAAUGCAAAGAGAGAUGAAGGAUCAGAGAAAAGAGGCAGAGAAAAUCAAGGAAAAUUUUGGAGAACUGAGUAAAAGCCAGGAUCAAGUCUUAGACAAUUUAGCCAUGAUCGAAAUGAAACAAAAACAGUUAAAUCUAAAAUUUAGAGGAAUAGGGGAAGAGAGGGAAGAAGAUAUCAAAGGGAAAAUGAUUAAAGAACUGGCGGCAUGGCUAGCACUGACAGAAGAUGAGGUGGAACAAACGAUAGAAAAUGCCUUUAGAGUCAAAAUAAAAGCCAAGCAAAAUAGAUUGAAAAAAACCCCAGGAGACUGCCUGGUGAUUUUUAACUCGAUAGUGAUGAGGAACAUGAUCCUAAAGGAAAGCUAUCAAAAGAGAUUAAUAAUCGACGGAAAACCAAUCAUUAUAUUCAAAGAAAUUCCAAUCAGACUCCUCCGUAAAAGAGAGGGUUACAAACAGAUAGUAAACACUUUAAAAAGGAAUGGCAUUAAACACAGGUGGGAAUUCCCAGAAGGGAUUUCCUUCUUUUACAAGGGAAAAAGAUUUAAGAUCAUGGAAAGUCAGGAAGUCAGUAAAUUCUUACGCAGAUAUGAGAAAGAUCUCGGGGGGAUAGAGG
This 1185-nucleotide long non-coding RNA is filed under the name Podarcis muralis (Common wall lizard). Its description in RNAcentral is "lncRNA (ENSPMRG00000005965.1)". Lineage: Eukaryota; Metazoa; Chordata; Lepidosauria; Squamata; Lacertidae. The record is from RNAcentral.